Molecule: ribosomal RNA, 2905 nt
Filed under: Escherichia coli
Lineage: Bacteria; Pseudomonadati; Pseudomonadota; Gammaproteobacteria; Enterobacterales; Enterobacteriaceae
Description: 23S ribosomal RNA
Rfam family: Bacterial large subunit ribosomal RNA
Source: RNAcentral
GGUUAAGCGACUAAGCGUACACGGUGGAUGCCCUGGCAGUCAGAGGCGAUGAAGGACGUGCUAAUCUGCGAUAAGCGUCGGUAAGGUGAUAUGAACCGUUAUAACCGGCGAUUUCCGAAUGGGGAAACCCAGUGUGUUUCGACACACUAUCAUUAACUGAAUCCAUAGGUUAAUGAGGCGAACCGGGGGAACUGAAACAUCUAAGUACCCCGAGGAAAAGAAAUCAACCGAGAUUCCCCCAGUAGCGGCGAGCGAACGGGGAGGAGCCCAGAGCCUGAAUCAGUGUGUGUGUUAGUGGAAGCGUCUGGAAAGGCGCGCGAUACAGGGUGACAGCCCCGUACACAAAAAUGCACAUGCUGUGAGCUCGAUGAGUAGGGCGGGACACGUGGUAUCCUGUCUGAAUAUGGGGGGACCAUCCUCCAAGGCUAAAUACUCCUGACUGACCGAUAGUGAACCAGUACCGUGAGGGAAAGGCGAAAAGAACCCCGGCGAGGGGAGUGAAAAAGAACCUGAAACCGUGUACGUACAAGCAGUGGGAGCCUCUUAAUGGGGUGACUGCGUACCUUUUGUAUAAUGGGUCAGCGACUUAUAUUCUGUAGCAAGGUUAACCGAAUAGGGGAGCCGAAGGGAAACCGAGUCUUAACUGGGCGUUAAGUUGCAGGGUAUAGACCCGAAACCCGGUGAUCUAGCCAUGGGCAGGUUGAAGGUUGGGUAACACUAACUGGAGGACCGAACCGACUAAUGUUGAAAAAUUAGCGGAUGACUUGUGGCUGGGGGUGAAAGGCCAAUCAAACCGGGAGAUAGCUGGUUCUCCCCGAAAGCUAUUUAGGUAGCGCCUCGUGAAUUCAUCUCCGGGGGUAGAGCACUGUUUCGGCAAGGGGGUCAUCCCGACUUACCAACCCGAUGCAAACUGCGAAUACCGGAGAAUGUUAUCACGGGAGACACACGGCGGGUGCUAACGUCCGUCGUGAAGAGGGAAACAACCCAGACCGCCAGCUAAGGUCCCAAAGUCAUGGUUAAGUGGGAAACGAUGUGGGAAGGCCCAGACAGCCAGGAUGUUGGCUUAGAAGCAGCCAUCAUUUAAAGAAAGCGUAAUAGCUCACUGGUCGAGUCGGCCUGCGCGGAAGAUGUAACGGGGCUAAACCAUGCACCGAAGCUGCGGCAGCGACGUUUAUGCGUUGUUGGGUAGGGGAGCGUUCUGUAAGCCUGCGAAGGUGUACUGUGAGGUAUGCUGGAGGUAUCAGAAGUGCGAAUGCUGACAUAAGUAACGAUAAAGCGGGUGAAAAGCCCGCUCGCCGGAAGACCAAGGGUUCCUGUCCAACGUUAAUCGGGGCAGGGUGAGUCGACCCCUAAGGCGAGGCCGAAAGGCGUAGUCGAUGGGAAACAGGUUAAUAUUCCUGUACUUGGUGUUACUGCGAAGGGGGGACGGAGAAGGCUAUGUUGGCCGGGCGACGGUUGUCCCGGUUUAAGCGUGUAGGCUGGUUUUCCAGGCAAAUCCGGAAAAUCAAGGCUGAGGCGUGAUGACGAGGCACUACGGUGCUGAAGCAACAAAUGCCCUGCUUCCAGGAAAAGCCUCUAAGCAUCAGGUAACAUCAAAUCGUACCCCAAACCGACACAGGUGGUCAGGUAGAGAAUACCAAGGCGCUUGAGAGAACUCGGGUGAAGGAACUAGGCAAAAUGGUGCCGUAACUUCGGGAGAAGGCACGCUGAUAUGUAGGUGAAGUCCCUCGCGGAUGGAGCUGAAAUCAGUCGAAGAUACCAGCUGGCUGCAACUGUUUAUUAAAAACACAGCACUGUGCAAACACGAAAGUGGACGUAUACGGUGUGACGCCUGCCCGGUGCCGGAAGGUUAAUUGAUGGGGUUAGCGGUAACGCGAAGCUCUUGAUCGAAGCCCCGGUAAACGGCGGCCGUAACUAUAACGGUCCUAAGGUAGCGAAAUUCCUUGUCGGGUAAGUUCCGACCUGCACGAAUGGCGUAAUGAUGGCCAGGCUGUCUCCACCCGAGACUCAGUGAAAUUGAACUCGCUGUGAAGAUGCAGUGUACCCGCGGCAAGACGGAAAGACCCCGUGAACCUUUACUAUAGCUUGACACUGAACAUUGAGCCUUGAUGUGUAGGAUAGGUGGGAGGCUUUGAAGUGUGGACGCCAGUCUGCAUGGAGCCGGCCUUGAAAUACCACCCUUUAAUGUUUGAUGUUCUAACGUUGGCCCCUUACCGGGGUUGCGGACAGUGUCUGGUGGGUAGUUUGACUGGGGCGGUCUCCUCCUAAAGAGUAACGGAGGAGCACGAAGGUUGGCUAAUCCUGGUCGGACAUCAGGAGGUUAGUGCAAUGGCAUAAGCCAGCUUGACUGCGAGCGUGACGGCGCGAGCAGGUGCGAAAGCAGGUCAUAGUGAUCCGGUGGUUCUGAAUGGAAGGGCCAUCGCUCAACGGAUAAAAGGUACUCCGGGGAUAACAGGCUGAUACCGCCCAAGAGUUCAUAUCGACGGCGGUGUUUGGCACCUCGAUGUCGGCUCAUCACAUCCUGGGGCUGAAGUAGGUCCCAAGGGUAUGGCUGUUCGCCAUUUAAAGUGGUACGCGAGCUGGGUUUAGAACGUCGUGAGACAGUUCGGUCCCUAUCUGCCGUGGGCGCUGGAGAACUGAGGGGGGCUGCUCCUAGUACGAGAGGACCGGAGUGGACGCAUCACUGGUGUUCGGGUUGUCAUGCCAAUGGCACUGCCCGGUAGCUAAAUGCGGAAGAGAUAAGUGCUGAAAGCAUCUAAGCACGAAACUUGCCCCGAGAUGAGUUCUCCCUGACUCUUUAAGGGUCCUGAAGGAACGUUGAAGACGACGACGUUGAUAGGCCGGGUGUGUAAGCGCAGCGAUGCGUUGAGCUAACCGGUACUAAUGAACCGUGAGGCUUAACCUU